AUUGAACGCUGGCGGCAGGCCUAACACAUGCAAGUCGAGCGAGCGGCGGACGGGUGAGUAAUGCCUGGGAAUUGCCCAGUCGAGGGGGAUAACAGUUGGCAAGGACUGCUAAUACCGCAUACGACUGGCUUGCCCAGGUGGGAGUAGCUUGUUGGUGGGGUAACGGCUCACCAAGGCGACGAUCCCUAGCUGGUCCGAGAGGAUGAUCAGCCACACUGGAACUGAGACACGGUCCAGACUCCUACGGGAGGCAGCAGUGGGGAAUAUUGCACAAUGGGGGAAAGCCUGAUGCAGCCAUGCCGCGUGUGUGAAGAAGGCCUUCGGGUUGUAAAGCACUUUCAGCGGGGAGGCGUUACUCGCAGAAGAAGCACCGGCUAACUCCGUGCCAGCAGCCGCGGUAAUUC
Molecule: ribosomal RNA, 404 nt
Filed under: uncultured bacterium
Lineage: Bacteria
Description: partial 16S ribosomal RNA
Rfam family: Bacterial small subunit ribosomal RNA
Source: RNAcentral